AGUGAACGCUGGCGGUAGGCCUAACACAUGCAAGUCGAACGGCAGCACAGUAAGAGCUUGCUCUUACGGGUGGCGAGUGGCGGACGGGUGAGGAAUACAUCGGAAUCUACUUUUUCGUGGGGGAUAACGUAGGGAAACUUACGCUAAUACCGCAUACGACCUACGGGUGAAAGCAGGGGAUCUUCGGACCUUGCGCGAUUGCAUGAGCCGAUGUCGGAUUAGCUAGUGGGCGGGGUAAAGGCCCACCAAGGCGACGAUCCGUAGCUGGUCUGAGAGGAUGAUCAGCCACACUGGAACUGAGACACGGUCCAGACUCCUACGGGAGGCAGCAGUGGGGAAUAUUGGACAAUGGGCGCAAGCCUGAUCCAGCCAUACCGCGUGGGUGAAGAAGGCCUUCGGGUUGUAAAGCCCUUUUGUUGGGAAAGAAAAGCAGCAGGUUAAUACCCCGCUGUUCUGACGGUACCCAAAGAAUAAGCACCGGCUAACUUCGUG
RNAcentral lists this ribosomal RNA (492 nucleotides) under uncultured bacterium. RNAcentral's name for it is "partial 16S ribosomal RNA". It matches the Rfam family "Bacterial small subunit ribosomal RNA", at positions 29 to 507 of the family's 1533-position model. The record is from RNAcentral.